AGGGUGCGCGGCUUCUGCUGGCUUUUCUACGAGGUGGGCAAAUUCCCCCUCCUCGUAAAAAAGCCUGCAGGAUGCCGCACACCCU
Podarcis lilfordi (Lilford's wall lizard) is the source of this 85-nucleotide non-coding RNA. Lineage: Eukaryota; Metazoa; Chordata; Lepidosauria; Squamata; Lacertidae. The record is from the annotation of a GenBank genome assembly.